This 253-nucleotide ribosomal RNA is filed under the name uncultured bacterium. RNAcentral's name for it is "partial 16S ribosomal RNA". It matches the Rfam family "Bacterial small subunit ribosomal RNA", at positions 524 to 776 of the family's 1533-position model. The record is from RNAcentral.
UACGAAGGGGGCUAGCGUUGUUCGGAUUUACUGGGCGUAAAGCGCACGUAGGCGGAUGUGUCAGUCAGGGGUGAAAUCCCGGAGCUCAACUUCGGAACUGCCCUUGAUACAGCACGUCUUGAGUCCGGAAGAGGUGGGUGGAAUUCCUAGUGUAGAGGUGAAAUUCGUAGAUAUUAGGAAGAACACCGGUGGCGAAGGCGGCCCACUGGUCCGGUACUGACGCUGAGGUGCGAAAGCGUGGGGAGCAAACAGG